This 253-nucleotide ribosomal RNA is filed under the name uncultured bacterium. Its description in RNAcentral is "partial 16S ribosomal RNA". It matches the Rfam family "Bacterial small subunit ribosomal RNA", at positions 524 to 776 of the family's 1533-position model. The record is from RNAcentral.
UACGUAGGUGGCAAGCGUUGUCCGGAUUUAUUGGGCUUAAAGGGUGCGUAGGCGGUCCUAUAAGUCAGUGCUGAAAUAUCCCGGCUUAACCGGGAGGGUGGCAUUGAUACUGUGGGACUUGAGUAAAGUUGAGGUUGGCGGAAUUGACGGUGUAGCGGUGAAAUGCUUAGAUAUCGUCAAGAACACCUAUUGCGAAGGCAGCUAACUAAGCUUUAACUGACGCUGAGGCACGAAAGUGUGGGGAUCAAACAGG